GACGAACGCUGGCGGCGUGCCUAAUACAUGCAAGUAGAACGCUGAAGAGAGGAGCUUGCUCUUCUUGGAUGAGUUGCGAACGGGUGAGUAACGCGUAGGUAACCUGCCUGGUAGCGGGGGAUAACUAUUGGAAACGAUAGCUAAUACCGCAUAAAAUUGAUUAUUGCAUGAUAAUUAAUUGAAAGAUGCAAUUGCAUCACUACCAGAUGGACCUGCGUUGUAUUAGCUAGUUGGUGAGGUAACGGCUCACCAAGGCGACGAUACAUAGCCGACCUGAGAGGGUGAUCGGCCACACUGGGACUGAGACACGGCCCAGACUCCUACGGGAGGCAGCAGUAGGGAAUCUUCGGCAAUGGGGGGAACCCUGACCGAGCAACGCCGCGUGAGUGAAGAAGGUUUUCGGAUCGUAAAGCUCUGUUGUAAGAGAAGAACGGGUGUGAGAGUGGAAAGUUC
RNAcentral lists this ribosomal RNA (453 nucleotides) under Streptococcus sanguinis. RNAcentral's name for it is "bacterial SSU rRNA". It matches the Rfam family "Bacterial small subunit ribosomal RNA", at positions 28 to 465 of the family's 1533-position model. The record is from RNAcentral. Lineage: Bacteria; Bacillati; Bacillota; Bacilli; Lactobacillales; Streptococcaceae.